GACGAACGUUGGCGGCGUGCUUAAUACAUGCCAGUCAACUGAAGCAGUGGUAGCAAUAUCGCUGUGGAGGUGGCGCACGGGUGAGUAACACGUAGGUAAUCUGCCUUCAGGUCUGGCAUAACUCCGGGAAACCGGGGCUAAUAGCAGAUGAUGCAGCGGCUCGACAUCGAGACAGUUGUUAAAGCUAUGGCGCCUGAAGAUGAGCCUGCGUCUGAUUAGCUAGUUGGCGGGGUAACGGCCCACCAAGGCAACGAUCAGUAGCCGGUCUGAGAGGAUGAUCAGCCACACUGGAACUGAGACACGGUCCAGACUCCUACGGGAGGCAGCAGUAAGGAAUAUUGCUCAAUGGGAGAAAUCCUGAAGCAGCAACGCCGCGUGAGGGACGAAGGGCUUUUGCUUGUAAACCUCUGUAGUGAGAGAAAAAAAUCCCAAUCUUUGGGACAUGAUGGUAUCUCAAAAGUAAGCCCCGGCUAACUACGUG
Molecule: ribosomal RNA, 481 nt
Filed under: uncultured bacterium
Lineage: Bacteria
Description: partial 16S ribosomal RNA
Rfam family: Bacterial small subunit ribosomal RNA
Source: RNAcentral